Long non-coding RNA from Pogoniulus pusillus (Red-fronted tinkerbird), 493 nucleotides. RefSeq lists it as uncharacterized. The record is from RefSeq and is a predicted model, not a curated record. NCBI's taxonomy places the organism in Eukaryota, Metazoa, Chordata, Aves, Piciformes, Lybiidae. The transcript is spliced from 2 exons.
UGGGUGGAGCAGGUGGGGAUGGGUUGCCGGUAGCAGUGGAAGCAAGUGGAGAUGGUUGGCAGUAGGAGGUGAAGCAGGUAGAGAAGAGCUCACAAGCACUUGGGUCUGAUCCUGCCGCGGCUUAGAGGAGCAGGGAGGUGCCGUGCCAGGCGGGCUGGCUGCCCCCGGCAGAGGAAGCAGCAGCUGAACGUUGCCAUCAAUAUUCCAAGCCCUCUGCUGGCCCUUCCGUGCCUGUUUACUCACCGGCAGCCCCCUGGAAACUUGGUCCGACGCAAUCUGCAAGUCAAACAACUUUUCAAACGAGCAAAAUGCACCCCCAGAGCCUCCAUCGCGGAGCGAGGGAAUCCACUUGAAACAGGAUUGAUUUCAUCUUAAAGGGAAGGGCCCUUUGAACCCCUCCCAGCUGCAGUUGUCUUGUUUGGUUUUCAAUCCUCUGACAAAAUGCUGCCAUAUUGUGUCAAAUAAAGGAGAUAAUAAACCAGCUUUAAACAAA